UGCAAGUAAACAGAUAGAGAUGUAUUUAGAUGCACAUGUUUGAUGCACUCGGGUGCAAGCUUGAAAUUCCAGUUAACUGAUAUGAUGGAAAAUAUACAAAAACAGUAAAUGGUUUCGCUUCAGCGCCCGCAUGCCAAAGACAUGUUGUAACAAAAAAGAUCUUUGUGUAUUAUUAUGUACGUGAAGAUUGUUUACUUCUAAGAUUUUUUUAUUGGUUAACUUUGAACCUACUUGACGUGUUAUAAAAAAUCUUUUACCAAUAUAAUGCUACAUACAUUAUCAAGGAGUGACGGACUAUAUUUUAAAGGUGAAAGGAACAGCCUAAAUCGUGUAAACCGUGCCGGCGUAGUCAUAUAAUACUCGUGUUUACGACGAGCGCUACACAAGCUGCGAUGGACCACAUCCCCACUGACAUAGAUAAGCGCUCACACUAAAUUGUUAUUAUCGAAUUUGUUUUUGUUUUCAUUGCAUGUAAUAUAAUUAUCAAGAACAAGUA
Molecule: long non-coding RNA, 496 nt
Organism: Melitaea cinxia (Glanville fritillary)
Lineage: Eukaryota; Metazoa; Arthropoda; Insecta; Lepidoptera; Nymphalidae
Exons: 2
Source: RefSeq, a predicted model, not a curated record